This is a long non-coding RNA of Chelonia mydas (Green sea turtle), 2307 nucleotides long. RefSeq lists it as uncharacterized. Lineage: Eukaryota; Metazoa; Chordata; Testudines; Cheloniidae. The transcript has 3 exons. The record is from RefSeq and is a predicted model, not a curated record.
GGCAGCAGCUCUGGCGGGGUGGCCCAGCUAUAGCGCGGCCAGACGUGGUGCGUCCCGGGGAGUUCCGGGAGCAGCGGGAGGUCGCAGGGGGGUGGCCAAGGGGCCUGGUCCCUGCUGGCGGGGAAAGGGGCAGAGCAAGCCGGGGACCCCCUCCACGUCCCUGCUUGUCCCUGCUCCCAGCAGCCGAGCCCAGACAGGGAGAGCAGCCAAACGAGCAGGGGAAACGCACAGGGAAAGGACUGAGCCCCCCUUUCCUCCACCCCACAGACUUCUGCAAGGCGAACUUGAUUACGUGUGAUCACUUGAGUGCCUUUUGGAAAAGUAUGGGGGCUCUUGCUGCGAAAGACAUGGCCAACAACAGAGCAAGGCAUGAUCUCCAAUUGUCCACCACAUUGCCAUACCUGGUGAUAGUAUUUUUGUAUAAGUCCAUUGAAGUUAGAAUUUUUACAAGGUCUAAAAACAACAUAUACUUUACAAUUUUAAUGUUUCAUCUUAAGCACCCAGUUCCAUAAGCGUUGGAGAAUAAAGAAAUGGAAAGUGUCAUACAGCAUCUCAAAUAAAAUUCUUGAUGGCCAAUUCUUAAUACCUCAUGAAUAUCUAUUUGGGCAGUGAAGUCACUUCUGAUCCCAGGAAUGUCAAGUUCCUUUGAAGUAGAGUCCAGUUUUCCUCUUGGAUACAACCAUAUAUCACCCAUGGAAGUCAAUAGGAAUUGUGCAUGCAGGUUUUGGCUCAUCCAGUUUCUACUAGGUAUUAUUAUUACUUACUAAUCACUGAAGUGAGCAUUAUAGAUUUAAGGGGACAUUCAAUAAACUGGAAGGUGGCAUAUUCAAAGACAAUACUUUCUGGAAUGCAGUCACUCAGACUGUGGAAGUCAUUGCUACAAGAUGUCAUUGAGUCCAAGAGCUUAAAAGGGUAUAGCAUAAUAAGAAUAUCCAGAGUUAUAAUAGUAAAUACUGGAAGUGAAAGGAGAGGAAAAGUAAAAUGUUUUGGAGGGAAUUUACACUCUCCUUCAUAACCAGGCUCUAACUACUAAGGAUUAGGAGAAGACUUUCCUUGGGGGAAUUGUUGAUAACUGCACCUAUACCUGCAUACCAAAUGAUUUCUUGAACCUUCCUCUGAAGCAUUUAGUACUGGCCGCUGUUGGAGACAGACUUCUGGACUACACAAACUACUGGUCUGAGCCAGUACAGCAUUUCUAUGUUCCUAAAAAUUUGGGCUGUCUACAUGACAUUACGGACAAGAUGUCUUAACAAGUCAAGGCUAAUAUUAAAGUUCAUGUGUAUACUAUCCAGAAAGAAACUAACUCCUAAUUUCAAAACAAUACACCCACAAAUAAAGCCACGUAACAGUCAACAUCUCAGCAACAAAACAAAAAAGAAAAACUUUUAAUUUGGUCUUUUACCCAAUAAAAAUGUUUGUAUUGAAAAUAAGAAUGGUCUGGGGCUGAAAAUUGCCAAACUGGAAGCUAGAUAUGGGUUCAUUCCUGCCUGUGCCACUUAUGUAGCCUGUAUUUCAGCAUCCCCAGCUGUAAUCUGUAAGUCUGCUUAGUUCAUAGGGGAGAUGAAGCUUAAUGCAUUGACAUUUUAAAGUUCUUUAAGAUACUUAAAUGGAAUUGUGUACAAGUGCAAAGCAGGCGCACAAGUCCCAGAUCUGCUGGCCUACAACAUUUGAGGGCUCAGUGUACCCAGCAGACAACUCCCAAUGAUGUAAGGGAAGAAAAGAUUAUGUUGCAUGGUUUAUCCAUGACUGGGAGGAUUGAGGAGAAACAGGAGGAGAGGGCAGAAGCUACGUAACUUCUGGACAACGGAGAAGAGGAACUACAAAGAAAAGGAAGCUGCAAAAUCCUUUCAUGCUCCAGUCUAAAAAAAAAAAACCCAAAAAAUCAGUUCUACUACUACUUGCUUGAGAGGAAAGAAAGGUGGGUGGCAGCUAUUAGGCAGCCAGGUGGAACAGCACAACUUCAUUUUUGCCACGCAUACACAUCGCAUCUGCAUCUAAAAAACAUGCCUCAAAGACCAUGUAAAUGGAGGUCUUAAAACUUCAUGAGAACAGAUAUAAACAUUUCAGAAUGGUUCACCAAGCAACACAGAAAACAAUUUAAAGCUUUAUUUUUCCUGUGUUUAGUUAUUACAUAUCAGCCAGAUAAUUCUUUUUGUUCUAAACACCAGCUGCUUUCCAAUAUGUAUGCCAUAUAGAUACUAUAAUUACCUAUCAAGUAGGAGCAUAAAGGUUAGGGUCUUCCUGUAUGUAAAAAAAUGCAAUCUCUUUGACCUUUGCCUUAGAGCUUUAAUGUCUAGUUUAAAAAAA